GGCAGACAAGUGGCAAAACACAGAGCCUGUCCUUCAAGAAGCAGAUAGCUCCAACCCCAGGCUGCCUUGGCUCCAGUCUGCCAGGGGCUAUGGCAGGAAUUUCCUGAGCCAUCCUUUCUAGCUGGGCUUCUCACACUGUCCUGUGAAAGUGGAUGUCUGAGGGAGCAGGAGAGAGGGCUCCACUGGACCUCAAACAAACAAACAAACAAACAAAACACAACAUUGGAGAGUCUUCCCUUUUACAUGUUGUCUGGGUGUGUUUGUAUAAUAUUUGAUAAACAAGUAUUUAAAAGUUUAUUAAAACUAACCUGUGAAAUCAUCUGGAUCUCCACAGAAGGAAAACAAGAUAGAGAUCCUCAGCAUGGGAUCUGUGAACCUCAGAGGAAUCCACAAACCUGAAAAAAUUCCAAAUUAUGAAGUUGCUGUGGCUUUUAUAAGGAAGAUUUCUGGAGAGUCCCUCAGCAUUUCAGUGGUGUUUCCCAAAUCUAUAAAGACUAAGAACUGCAGAUUAAAGAAGAUGUGUUUUAGAAAUUCUAGCUUUAAAGUUCUGACCCAGAAGCCAACUGUGGAUUUUCCUUUGUGGUGUUUCCCUUCCCUCAAAAGGAUAAAAUGUGACCUUAUCAGAUGUUCCAGCAGUCCAGAUAUUGUAGUUCUUUCUGGGCAAAAGUCCAUAUCCUGUAAUCAUUUCUGUUGUGAUAAGGUUUAACUUUCCCACCAUACAUCGUUUGCUUCUAAGUGAGCUCUGUCUGUCAGUCUCGUCUAAGCAUACGGCAUUCAUAAAGGGAACACUGUCACCCAGGAAAAGUUUGACCAGCAUGGAGAAAGGAGAUAAUCCCAACCUUGAUUUGGACGCUAUGCUUCCGUUGAUACCACCUAAGAUUACAAAGAUACAUAACCCUUUGGUCUCACAUCUACUGUUUUUGACAAGUAAGAUUACUAAAUCUUUCUCUUCAUGUUAACACUGAAUUCAGUCACUUUUUAUUUGUCAUAUACACCUCUAGCUGAUUUUGAGAAAGGCAGCACUUUGUGUAUAAUAGUUUUAAAUUUUAUUUUAUUGUAUUUGGUAAUUGUUUAGUAUAUCAAAGAUUUGGAAAUCCUGAUGUCUCUUGCAGUAUCAAUUGUCUCUCCCAUUCCCAGGCUAUUUGUUGGCAUAUUUAUCAUGAUCUUAAUGAUCUGUCCAGGUGACUGAGUUCACUACUGAUCAGGAAAAGGAGACUAAAGGCACCUUUUCCUGUUGGGUGCUGAUUUAAGUUUAUCCAUGAGUCAGUGCACUCAGGAUACAAAAUAUACAGCCAAUUGUCAAUUCAGGGGACUAGAAGAGACUUCAGUCUACAUUUCUCUGUUUUGGCAGUUUAAAUAUGUAAAAUUUAUCCUAAUGAACUUGCUAAAUAGGUAACCCUCUUAUAUAAAGCACUAGAAAUUUUCCAUUCUAUCACAUGGAAACUACUGUAGAGACACAGAAAUCAAAUUCGCUUAGAGAUGGAAUGGGUGCUCCAGGUGGUGUUGAGGUCCCUAACAUUGAAGCCUUCAAGGAUCUGGUCAGUCACAGAUUGGAAAUAAAAUAGGAAAGACUUGGAGAUCAAAUAAAACAUUUAAUUCUGA
Molecule: long non-coding RNA, 1602 nt
Organism: Cavia porcellus (domestic guinea pig)
Lineage: Eukaryota; Metazoa; Chordata; Mammalia; Rodentia; Caviidae
Exons: 3
Source: RefSeq, a predicted model, not a curated record